AAAAGAAACUAACAAGGAUUCCCCUAGUAACGGCGAGCGAAGCGGGAAGAGCUCAAAUUUGAAAGCUGGCGUCUUCGGCGUCCGCGUUGUAAUCUCGAGACGUGUUUUCCGUGCGGCUCUAUGGACAAGUCCCUUGGAACAGGGCAUCGUAGAGGGUGAAAAUCCCGUACUUGCCAUGGAAGUACCGUGCUUUGUGAUACACGCUCCAAGAGUCGAGUAGUUUGGGAUUGCUGCUCAAAGUGGGUGGUAGACUCCAUCUAAAGCUAAAUAUCGGGGAGAGACCGAUAGCGAACAAGUACCGUGAGGGAAAGAUGAAAAGCACUUUGGAAAGAGAGUUAAAAGUACGUGAAAUUGUCGAAAGGGAAGCACUUGAAGUCAGCCAUGCUGCUUGAGACUCAGCCUGGCUUUUGCUUGGUGUAUUUCUCGGUAGCAAGCCAGCAUUGGUUUGUGUCGUCGGAGAAGCGCAUGGGGAAUGUGGCAUCCUCGGAUGUGUUAUAGCCCUGUGCAGGAUACGACGACGUA
Molecule: ribosomal RNA, 522 nt
Filed under: Malassezia restricta
Lineage: Eukaryota; Fungi; Basidiomycota; Malasseziomycetes; Malasseziales; Malasseziaceae
Description: eukaryotic LSU rRNA
Rfam family: Eukaryotic large subunit ribosomal RNA
Source: RNAcentral